UACGAAGGGAGCGAGCGUUGUUCGGAAUCACUGGGCUUAAAGCGUACGUAGGCGGAUUUACAAGUCAGGAGUGAAAUCCCAGGGCUUAACCUUGGAAUUGCUUUUGAAACUGUGAGUCUGGAAUCCGGUAGAGGUUGGCGGAACUCCGAGUGUAGAGGUGAAAUUCGCAGAUAUUCGGAAGAACACCAGUGGCGAAGGCGGCCAACUGGACCGGUAUUGACGCUGAGGUACGAAAGCGUGGGUAGCAAACAGG
This 253-nucleotide ribosomal RNA is filed under the name uncultured bacterium. Its description in RNAcentral is "partial 16S ribosomal RNA". It matches the Rfam family "Bacterial small subunit ribosomal RNA", at positions 524 to 776 of the family's 1533-position model. The record is from RNAcentral.